GUUGGGAUAGCUCAGUUGGUAGAGCAGAGGACU
This 33-nucleotide transfer RNA is filed under the name Wurmbea inusta. RNAcentral's name for it is "partial tRNA-Phe". Lineage: Eukaryota; Viridiplantae; Streptophyta; Magnoliopsida; Liliales; Colchicaceae. The record is from RNAcentral. RNAcentral also lists the same sequence under 14 other names.